RNAcentral lists this small RNA (28 nucleotides) under Bombyx mori (domestic silkworm). Its description in RNAcentral is "ovarian small RNA-12374". The record is from RNAcentral. Lineage: Eukaryota; Metazoa; Arthropoda; Insecta; Lepidoptera; Bombycidae.
AUAGGUAAGUUGCAAUUAGGUACGAACA